UACGGAGGAUCCAAGCGUUAUCCGGAAUCAUUGGGUUUAAAGGGUCCGUAGGCGGGUUUAUAAGUCAGUGGUGAAAGUCUGCAGCUUAACUGUAGAACUGCCAUUGAUACUGGAAGGCUUGAGUGAAGUCGAGGCAGGCGGAACUGGUGGUGUAGCGGUGAAAUGCAUAGAUAUUACACAGAAUACCGAUUGCGAAGGCAGAUCACUAAUAAAAUACUGACGCUGAUGGACGAAAGCGUAGGUAGCGAACAGG
This 253-nucleotide unclassified non-coding RNA is filed under the name uncultured Flavobacteriaceae bacterium. RNAcentral's name for it is "contains 16S-23S intergenic spacer region". It matches the Rfam family "Bacterial small subunit ribosomal RNA", at positions 524 to 776 of the family's 1533-position model. The record is from RNAcentral. Lineage: Bacteria; Pseudomonadati; Bacteroidota; Flavobacteriia; Flavobacteriales; Flavobacteriaceae.